GCGUAAGAGCUCGUAGGCGGUUUGUCGCGUCUGCCGUGAAAGUCCGGGGCUCAACUCCGGAUCUGCGGUGGGUACGGGCAGACUAGAGUGAUGUAAGGGAGACUGGAAUUCCUGGUGUAGCGGUGAAAUGCGCAGAUAUCAGGAGGAACACCGAUGGCGAAGGCAGGUCUCUGGGCAUUAACUGACGCUGAGGAGCGAAAGCAUGGGGAGCGAACAGGAUUAGAUACCCUGGUAGUCCAUGCCGUAAACGUUGGGCACUAGGUGUGGGGGACAUUCCACGUUUUCCGCGCCGUAGCUAACGCAUUAAGUGCCCCGCCUGGGGAGUACGGCCGCAAGGCUAAAACUCAAAGGAAUUGACGGGGGCCCGCACAAGCGGCGGAGCAUGCGGAUUAAUUCGAUGCAACGCGAAGAACCUUACCAAGGCUUGACAU
This 431-nucleotide ribosomal RNA is filed under the name Arthrobacter globiformis. RNAcentral's name for it is "bacterial SSU rRNA". It matches the Rfam family "Bacterial small subunit ribosomal RNA", at positions 558 to 987 of the family's 1533-position model. The record is from RNAcentral. Lineage: Bacteria; Bacillati; Actinomycetota; Actinomycetes; Micrococcales; Micrococcaceae.